RNAcentral lists this ribosomal RNA (276 nucleotides) under Sporolactobacillus inulinus. Its description in RNAcentral is "partial 16S rRNA". It matches the Rfam family "Bacterial small subunit ribosomal RNA", at positions 67 to 334 of the family's 1533-position model. The record is from RNAcentral. Lineage: Bacteria; Bacillati; Bacillota; Bacilli; Caryophanales; Sporolactobacillaceae.
CACAGAAGGGAGCUUGCUCCCGGGACGUGAGCGGCGGAUGGGUGAGUAACACGUGGGCAACCUGCCUGUAAGACGGGGAUAACUUCGGGAAACCGGAGCUAAUACCGGAUAAUCCCUCGCACCGCAUGGUGCGAGGUUGAAAGAUGGUUUCGGCCAUCACUUACAGAUGGGCCCGCGGUGCAUUAGUUAGUUGGCGGGGUAACGGCCCACCAAGACCGCGAUGCAUAGCCGACCUGAGAGGGUGAUCGGCCACAUUGGGACUGAGACACGGCCCAA